UUCCUAGUAUACAUGGUUUUCCAAGUACCA
RNAcentral lists this non-coding RNA (30 nucleotides) under Mus musculus (house mouse). The record is from RNAcentral. Lineage: Eukaryota; Metazoa; Chordata; Mammalia; Rodentia; Muridae.